Molecule: ribosomal RNA, 392 nt
Filed under: uncultured Gammaproteobacteria bacterium
Lineage: Bacteria; Pseudomonadati; Pseudomonadota; Gammaproteobacteria
Description: bacterial SSU rRNA
Rfam family: Bacterial small subunit ribosomal RNA
Source: RNAcentral
AAUGGGGGAAACCCUGAUGCAGCGAUGCCGCGUGAGUGAAGAAGGCCCUUGGGUUGUAAAACUCUUUCGUCGGGGAAGAAAAUGACUGUACCCGAAUAAGAAGGUCCGGCUAACUUCGUGCCAGCAGCCGCGGUAAUACGAAGGGACCUAGCGUAGUUCGGAAUUACUGGGCUUAAAGAGCUCGUAGGUGGUUAAAAAAGUUGAUGGUGAAAUCCCAAGGCUCAACCUUGGAACUGCCAUCAAAACUUUUUAGCUAGAGUGUGAUAGAGGUAAGUGGAAUUUCUAGUGUAGAGGUGAAAUUCGUAGAUAUUAGAAAGAACACCAAAUGCGAAGGCAACUUACUGGGUCACUACUGACACUGAGGAGCGAAAGCAUGGGUAGCGAAGAGGGUU